UCGCCCUACGGGGGGCAGCAGUGGGGGAUAUUGCACAAUGGGGGAAACCCUGAUGCAGUGACGCCGCGUGAGUGAAGAAGUAAUUCGUUAUGUAAAGCUCUAUCAGCAGGGAAGAAACAGACGGUACCUGAGUAAGAAGCCCCGGCUAACUACGUGCCAGCAGCCGCGGUAAUACGUAGGGGGCAAGCGUUAUCCGGAUUUACUGGGGGUAAAGGGGGCGUAGACGGCGAAGAAAGUCUGAAGUGAAAGCCCGCGGCUUAACCGCGGAACUGCUUUGGAAACUUUUUUGCUGGAGUACCGGAGAG
Molecule: ribosomal RNA, 305 nt
Filed under: uncultured bacterium
Lineage: Bacteria
Description: partial 16S ribosomal RNA
Rfam family: Bacterial small subunit ribosomal RNA
Source: RNAcentral